This 860-nucleotide long non-coding RNA is filed under the name Homo sapiens (human). RNAcentral describes it as "non-protein coding LINC01510:5". Lineage: Eukaryota; Metazoa; Chordata; Mammalia; Primates; Hominidae. The record is from RNAcentral.
UGGCUAUCAAAGCUGGGCAAUGUGAUCCUCUAAGCCACAUGUUUAGGAAUUGACAAACAAUUGUGGAGGUUGGCAAUUCCAAAAUCUGAGGAGUAGGUAAACUGGAAGACUAGAGACCCUGGGAAGAGUUGAUGUUACAGCUUGAAUCUGAAGGCAGUCUGCUGGAAGAAUCCCCUCUUUCUUGUAGAAGCCCCUUGACUGGGCAAACUUCAAACAAGUGACUGAGCUCCCUUAGCUGCCACUGAUUGGACCAGGAUGGACAACAAAUGUAGGAGGAGUUCAUCUGGAUCUAGCCUGAGCCAGUCAGAUAUCCCCUUUGAAUCCAUGCCUAUAGAAAUACAAAAAAAUGGAAGCCAGAGGAUGAUGGAUCCUUGAAGUAAUAAGUCAGGUAGAUCUUGAAAAUUUUUGACUCAAUCCAUAUUGAUGAACACAAGAAUAAUUCUGGUCUACAAAGAGAGGCAAGAGAAAGACUUGGGGUGUAUUAAGAAAAACAGCUCUGUGGAAGUUUGAGUGACUCAUUGCAGAGAGGAAUUGAUGAAGUCAACAGCUGCUGGAAAAACUUCUUUUUCCUUAAUAGCUGUAUCAACAUGUGGUUGCUAUUAUUCAAGUAAGAAAAAUAUGUAUAUCAAACAUCCAUGGUAGUCCUUGCUAAAAUUUUCAUUAGAGAGACUCAUGUUUUGACAUUAAAAAAAGUUCAAAUGGGUACCUUAGAGGAUGUUUUGUUGGAGAACAAAAUCAUGGAGAAAUAAAGUCUAAAAAGAAAAAUAAAUGGCAAGCAUGUUGUUAAUAAUGCUGUAAUUUAUUUCAGAGUGGGUUGGGUGAUUUUCUUCAUGGCAUUAUUAGUGGCACUGCAGAAAUUU